AGUGAACGCUGGCGGUAGGCCUACCACAUGCAAGUCGAACGUCAGCACAUUAAAGCCUUCCUCUUCCGGGGGCCGGGGGGCGAAUGGUGAGGAAAAACAUCGGAAUCUAUUUUUUCUUGGGGAUUAACGUGGGAAAUCUUCCGCUAAUACCCCUUAGGACGUACGGGUAAAAGCUGGGGAACUCCGGACCUGGGGUGAUGGAUUGACCGGAUGUCGGAUUAGCUAGUUGGCGGGGUAAAGGCCCACCAAGGCGACGAUCCGUAGCUGGUCUGAGAGGAUGAUCAGCCACACUGGAACUGAGACACGGUCCAGACUCCUACGGGAGGCAGCAGUGGGGAAUAUUGGACAAUGGGCGCAAGCCUGAUCCAGCCAUACCGCGUGGGUGAAGAAGGCCUUCGGGUUGUAAAGCCCUUUUGUUGGGAAAGAAAAGCAGCAGGUUAAUACCCCGCUGUUCUGACGGUACCCAAAGAAUAAGCACCGGCUAACUUCGUG
RNAcentral lists this ribosomal RNA (492 nucleotides) under uncultured bacterium. RNAcentral's name for it is "partial 16S ribosomal RNA". It matches the Rfam family "Bacterial small subunit ribosomal RNA", at positions 29 to 507 of the family's 1533-position model. The record is from RNAcentral.